CGGCUCCUACGGGGCGCAGCAGUCGGGAAUAUUGCGCAAUGGAGGAAACUCUGACGCAGUGACGCCGCGUAUAGGAAGAAGGUUUUCGGAUUGUAAACUAUUGUCGUGAGGGAAGAAAUUGACAGUACCUCAGGAGGAAGCUCCGGCUAACUAUGUGCCAGCAGCCGCGGUAAUACGUAGGGGGCAAGCGUUAUCCGGAUUUACUGGGUGUAAAGGGGGCGCAGACGGCGAUGCAAGCCAGGAGUGAAAGCCCGGGGCCCAACCCCGGGACUGCUCUUGGAACGGCGUGGCUGGAG
RNAcentral lists this ribosomal RNA (296 nucleotides) under uncultured bacterium. RNAcentral describes it as "partial 16S ribosomal RNA". It matches the Rfam family "Bacterial small subunit ribosomal RNA", at positions 333 to 646 of the family's 1533-position model. The record is from RNAcentral.